AACGAACGCUGGCGGCAUGCCUAACACAUGCAAGUCGAACGAGACCUUCGGGUCUAGUGGCGCACGGGUUCGUAACGCGUUGGAACCUGCCCUUAGGUUCGGAAUAACUCCCCGAAAGGGGUGCUAAUACCGGAUAAUUUCUUCGGACCAAAGGUUUAUCGCCUUUGGAUGGGCCCGCGUUUGAUUAGCUAGUUGGUAGGGUAAAAGCCUACCAAGGCGACGAUCCAUAGCUGGUAUGAGAGGAUGAUCAGCCACACUGGGACUGAGACACGGCACAGAAGACUACGGGAGGCAGCAGUGGGGAAUAUAGGAAAAUGGGAGAAAGCCUGAACAAGCAAUGACGCGUGAGUGAUGAAGGCCUUAGGGUAGUAAAGCUCUUUUACAAGGGAUGAUAAUGACAGUACCGGGAGAAUAAGCUCCGGCUAACUCCGUG
This 433-nucleotide ribosomal RNA is filed under the name uncultured bacterium. Its description in RNAcentral is "partial 16S ribosomal RNA". It matches the Rfam family "Bacterial small subunit ribosomal RNA", at positions 29 to 507 of the family's 1533-position model. The record is from RNAcentral.